GAUGAACGCUGGCGGCGUGCCUAAUACAUGCAAGUCGAGCGAAUGGAUUAAGAGCUUGCUCUUAUGAAGUUAGCGGCGGACGGGUGAGUAACACGUGAGUAACCUGCCCAUAAGACUGGGAUAACUCCGGGAAACCGGGGCUAAUACCGGAUAACAUUUUGAACAGCAUGGUUCGAAAUUGAAAGGCGGCUUCGGCUGUCACUUAUGGAUGGACCCGCGUCGCAUUAGCUAGUUGGUGAGGUAACGGCUCACCAAGGAAACGAUGCGUAGCCGACCUGAGAGGGUGAUCGGCCACACUGGGACUGAGACACGGCCCAGACUCCUACGGGAGGCAGCAGUAGGGAAUCUUCCGCAAUGGACGAAAGUCUGACGGAGCAACGCCGCGUGAGUGAUGAAGGCUUUCGGGUCGUAAAACUCUGUUGUUAGGGAAGAACAAGUGCUAGUUGAAUAAGCUGGCACCUUGACGGUACCUAACCAGAAAGCCACGGCUAACUACGUGCCAGCCGCCGCAGUAA
This 515-nucleotide ribosomal RNA is filed under the name uncultured bacterium. RNAcentral describes it as "partial 16S ribosomal RNA". It matches the Rfam family "Bacterial small subunit ribosomal RNA", at positions 28 to 523 of the family's 1533-position model. The record is from RNAcentral.